Ictalurus punctatus (channel catfish) is the source of this 1880-nucleotide long non-coding RNA. The record is from Ensembl. Lineage: Eukaryota; Metazoa; Chordata; Actinopteri; Siluriformes; Ictaluridae.
UCUUUGAUGCUGAAGAUCAUGUUGAAAAUUGCAGUUGCAAUUACAGGAUCUGAAGGUAUUACUGGUGAAGUGGUGUUUGUUGAAGUGGCGUUUGUAGACGUGGCGUUUGUUGAAGUGGCGUUUGUUGACGUGGCGUUUGUUGACGUGGCGUUUGUUGACGUGGCGUUUGUAGACGUGGCGUUUGUUGAAGUGGCGUUUGUUGACGUGGCGUUUGUUGACGUGGCGUUUGUAGACGUGGCGUUUGUUGAAGUGGCGUUUGUUGAAGUGGCGUUUGUUGAAGUGGCGUUUGUUGAAGUGGCGUUUGUAGACGUGGCGUUUGUUGACGUGGCGUUUGUUGAAGUGGCGUUUGUUGACGUGGCGUUUGUAGACGUGGCGUUUGUUGAAGUGGCGUUUGUUGACGUGGCGUUUGUUGAAGUGGCGUUUGUUGAAGUGGCGUUUGUUGAAGUGGCGUUUGUUGACGUGGCGUUUGUUGAAGUGGCGUUUGUUGAAGUGGCGUUUGUUGAAGUGGCGUUUGUUGACGUGGCGUUUGUAGACGUGGCGUUUGUUGACGUGGCGUUUGUUGAAGUGGCGUUUGUAGACGUGGCGUUUGUUGAAGCGUUUGUUGAAGUGGCGUUUGUUGACGUGGCGUUUGUUGACGUGGCGUUUGUAGACGUGGCGUUUGUUGAAGUGGCGUUUGUUGACGUGGCGUUUGUUGACGUGGCGUUUGUAGACGUGGCGUUUGUUGAAGUGGGCGUUUGUUGAAGUGGCGUUUGUUGAAGUGCGUUUGUUGACGUGGCGUUUGUAGACGUGGCGUUUGUUGAAGUGGCGUUUGUUGACGUGGCGUUUGUUGACGUGGCGUUGGUUGAAGUGGCGUUUGUUGACGUGGCGUUUGUUGAAGUGGCGUUUGUUGAAGUGGCGUUUGUUGACGUGGCGUUGUAGACGUGGCGUUUGUUGAAGUGGCGUUUGUUGAAGUGGCGUUUGUUGACGUGGCGUUUGUUGACGUGGCGUUUGUUGAAGUGGCGUUUGUUGAAGUGGCGUUUGUUGACGUGGCGUUUGUUGACGUGGCGUUGGUUGAAGUGGCGUUUGUUGACGUGGCGUUUGUUGAAGUGGCGUUUGUUUGAAGUGGCGUUUGUUGACGUGGCGUUGGUUGAAGUGGCGUUUGUUGACGUGGCGUUUGUUGAAGUGGCGUUUGUUGAAGUGGCGUUUGUUGACGUGGCGUUUGUUGACGUGGCGUUUGUUGAAGUGGCGUUUGUUGAAGUGGCGUUUGUUGACGUGGCGUUUGUAGACGUGGCGUUUGUUGAAGUGGCGUUUGUUGAAGUGGCGUUUGUUGAAGUGGCGUUUGUUGACGUGGCGUUUGUUGACGUGGCGUUUGUUGAAUGGCGUUGGUUGACGUGGCGUUGGUUGAAGUGGCGUUUGUUGAAGUGGCGUUUGUUGACGUGGCGUUUGUUGACGUGGCGUUUGUAGACGUGGCGUUUGUUGACGUGGCGUUUGUUGACGUGGCGUUUGUUGAAGUGGCGUUUGUAGACGUGGCGUUUGUUGAAGUGGCGUUUGUUGACGUGGCGUUUGUUGACGUGGCGUUUGUAGACGUGGCGUUUGUUGACGUCGCGUUUGUAGACGUGGCGUUUGUUGACGUGGCGUUUGUUGACGUGGCGUUUGUAGACGUGGCGUUUGUUGAAGUGGCGUUUGUUGACGUGGCGUUUGUUGAAGUGGCGUUUGUUGACGUGGCGUUUGUUGACGUGGCGUUUGUUGACGUGGCGUUUGUUGAAGUGGCGUUUGUUGACGUGGCGUUUGUUGAAGUGGCGUUUGUUGACGUGGCGUUGGUUGAAGUGGCGUUUGUUGAAGUGGCGUUUGUUGACGUGGCGUUUGUAGACGUGGCGUUGUUGAAGUGGCGUUUGUUGAAG